GACGAACGCUGGCGGCGUGCUUAACACAUGCAAGUCGAACGGAAAGGCCCUGCUUUUGUGGGGUGCUCGAGUGGCGAACGGGUGAGUAACACGUGAGUAACCUGCCCUUGACUUUGGGAUAACUUCAGGAAACUGGGGCUAAUACCGGAUAGGAGCUCCUGCUGCAUGGUGGGGGUUGGAAAGUUUCGGCGGUUGGGGAUGGACUCGCGGCUUAUCAGCUUGUUGGUGGGGUAGUGGCUUACCAAGGCUUUGACGGGUAGCCGGCCUGAGAGGGUGACCGGCCAAAUUGGGACUUGGGAACCGCCCAGACUCCUACGGGGGGGAGGAGUUGGGAAUAUUUCACAAUGGGCCGAAGGCUGAUGCAGCAACGCCGGGGUCGGGAUGACCGCCUUCGGGUUGUAAACCGCUUUCGCCUGUGACGAAGCGUGAGUGACGGUAAUGGGUAAAGAAGCACCGGCUAACUACGUG
This 468-nucleotide ribosomal RNA is filed under the name uncultured bacterium. RNAcentral's name for it is "partial 16S ribosomal RNA". It matches the Rfam family "Bacterial small subunit ribosomal RNA", at positions 28 to 507 of the family's 1533-position model. The record is from RNAcentral.